CUCGGCAACGGAUAUCUCGGCUCUCGCAUCGAUGAAGAACGUAGCGAAAUGCGAUACUUGGUGUGAAUUGCAGAAUCCCGUGAACCAUCGAGUCUUUGAACGCAAGUUGCGCCCGACGCCAUUCGGCUGAGGGCACGUCUGCCUGGGUGUCACG
RNAcentral lists this ribosomal RNA (154 nucleotides) under Cuphea pulchra. RNAcentral's name for it is "5.8S ribosomal RNA". It matches the Rfam family "5.8S ribosomal RNA". Rfam says of the family: 5.8S ribosomal RNA (5.8S rRNA) is a component of the large subunit of the eukaryotic ribosome. It is transcribed by RNA polymerase I as part of the 45S precursor that also contains 18S and 28S rRNA. The record is from RNAcentral. Lineage: Eukaryota; Viridiplantae; Streptophyta; Magnoliopsida; Myrtales; Lythraceae.